CCGUACACAAAAGCGCAUGUGCUGUGAGCUCGAUGAGUAGGGCGGGACACGUGGUAUCCUGUCUGAAUAUGGGGGGACCAUCCUCCAAGGCUAAAUACUCCUGACUGACCGAUAGUGAACCAGUACCGUGAGGGAAAGGCGAAAAGAACCCCGGCGAGGGGAGUGAAAAAGAACCUGAAACCGUGUACGUACAAGCAGUGGGAGCACAGGUUUACCUGUGUGACUGCGUACCUUUUGUAUAAUGGGUCAGCGACUUAUAUUCUGUAGCAAGGUUAACCGUAUAGGGGAGCCGGAGGGAAACCGAGUCUUAAUUGGGCGUUAAGUUGCAGGGUAUAGACCCGAAACCCGGUGAUCUAGCCAUGGGCAGGUUGAAGGUUGGGUAACACUAACUGGAGGACCGAACCGACUAAUGUUGAAAAAUUAGCGGAUGACCUGUGGCUGGGGGUGAAAGGCCAAUCAAACCGGGAGAUAGCUGGUUCUCCCCGAAAGCUAUUUAGGUAGCGCCUCGUGAAUUCAUCUCCGGGGGUAGAGCACUGUUUCGGCUAGGGGGCCAUCCCGGCUUACCAACCCGAUGCAAACUGCGAAUACCGGAGAAUGUUAUCACGGGAGACACACGGCGGGUGCUAACGUCCGUCGUGAAGAGGGAAACAACCCAGACCGCCAGCUAAGGUCCCAAAGUCAUGGUUAAGUGGGAAACGAUGUGGGAAGGCCCAGACAGCCAGGAUGUUGGCUUAGAAGCAGCCAUCAUUUAAAGAAAGCGUAAUAGCUCACUGGUCGAGUCGGCCUGCGCGGAAGAUGUAACGGGGCUAAACCAUGCACCGAAGCUGCGGCAGCGAACGUAUCACCCAAGACAACUUUACGGAGUUGACGAUUGACGGAGCGAAGCGACGUCAAAGCGUUCAUUAAAGUCGAGUUGGCUUAGGGAUACGUUCGUUGGGUAGGGGAGCGUUCUGUAAGCCUGUGAAGGUGUGUCGUGAGGCAUGCUGGAGGUAUCAGAAGUGCGAAUGCUGACAUAAGUAACGAUAAAGCGGGUGAAAAGCCCGCUCGCCGGAAGACCAAGGGUUCCUGUCCAACGUUAAUCGGGGCAGGGUGAGUCGACCCCUAAGGCGAGGCCGAAAGGCGUAGUCGAUGGGAAACGGGUUAAUAUUCCCGUACUUGGUGUUACUGCGAAGGGGGGACGGAGAAGGCUAUGUUGGCCGGGCGACGGUUGUCCCGGUUUAAGCGUGUAGGUGUGUGUUCCAGGUAAAUCCGGUUCACUUUAAC
Molecule: ribosomal RNA, 1263 nt
Filed under: Salmonella enterica subsp. enterica serovar Typhimurium
Lineage: Bacteria; Pseudomonadati; Pseudomonadota; Gammaproteobacteria; Enterobacterales; Enterobacteriaceae
Description: partial 23S ribosomal RNA
Rfam family: Bacterial large subunit ribosomal RNA
Source: RNAcentral